UACAGAGGUGGCAAGCGUUGCUCGGAAUCACUGGGCUUAAAGGGCGCGUAGGCGGCCUUCUAAGUCGAACGUGAAAUCCCCGGGCUCAACCCGGGAACUGCGUCCGAUACUGGAAGGCUUGAAUCCGGGAGAGGGAUGUGGAAUUCCAGGUGUAGCGGUGAAAUGCGUAGAUAUCUGGAGGAACACCGAUGGCGAAGGCAGCCCCCUGGGCCAACACUGACGCUCAGGCACGAAAGCGUGGGGAGCAAACAGG
Molecule: ribosomal RNA, 253 nt
Filed under: uncultured prokaryote
Description: partial 16S ribosomal RNA
Rfam family: Bacterial small subunit ribosomal RNA
Source: RNAcentral